This 475-nucleotide long non-coding RNA is filed under the name Apteryx rowi (Okarito brown kiwi). RNAcentral's name for it is "lncRNA (ENSARWG00000010041.1)". Lineage: Eukaryota; Metazoa; Chordata; Aves; Apterygiformes; Apterygidae. The record is from RNAcentral.
ACAGGAUAUACUGACUCUUGAUCAGAGGAAUUGAGAUCUAAAAAAGCUCCUUAAGUCACUGCUUUCAGCAGAAUGUCGAGGGCUGUACAGAGCACAGGGAGUCAUAGCCAUCGUUCUGAUAGAGUCAUCCAUCACCGUUGACUGCUUGCAGGGAAAAGUAUCCCAGGUUGUGUCUCACAAGAGCCUCAUGACACUAUGGUAUUAGAAGCCAAGCAGCAUCUGUGCCCUGAAUGUUACAAAAGCAUGCUGGAAUUUCGUAUUGUGCUUUAAGAGCUGACGACCGCAGUUGCUGCAGUGCCGCAUGUCUAGCUGCUGCUGGCUCCUUGGCAGGGUGCUUGUCUGGGGCUGCAAAGUUGUUGAGAAGCUGCAGGUGAAUUUGCCUUGGAAACAAGCACACAGGAUAUUUAGACUUUUUUGCAGUCAGCUGGGGAGACUUCCCCUGCCCAUCUUAUCAAGAGCAGGAGCAUGUAAAUGA